This 324-nucleotide ribosomal RNA is filed under the name Haemaphysalis sp. wx-08. RNAcentral describes it as "partial 16S ribosomal RNA". The record is from RNAcentral. Lineage: Eukaryota; Metazoa; Arthropoda; Arachnida; Ixodida; Ixodidae.
UCUGCUCAAUGAUUUUUUAAAUUGCUGUGGUAUUUUGACUAUACAAAGGUAUUGUAAUAAGACUUUAAUUGAGUGCUAAGAGAAUGGAAUUUCAGGAAAAAUCUUUUUUUAAAUUAAAAAUAGAAGUUAUUUUUAUUUGUGAAGAAACAAUAAUGAAAAUUUAGGACAAGAAGACCCUAUGAAUUUUUAUAUCUUUUAUAAAUUUAGGUGAAUAAAAGAUAUUUAAUUGGGGCGAUUAUAAAAUAUUUGUAACUUUUAUAAAGUAAAGUUGAUCCAUUAUUAAUGAUAAUAUGAAUAAAUACUCUAGGGAUAACAGCGUAAAAA